RNAcentral lists this ribosomal RNA (468 nucleotides) under uncultured bacterium. RNAcentral's name for it is "partial 16S ribosomal RNA". It matches the Rfam family "Bacterial small subunit ribosomal RNA", at positions 28 to 507 of the family's 1533-position model. The record is from RNAcentral.
GACGAACGCUGGCGGCGUGCUUAACACAUGCAAGUCGAACGGAAAGGCCCUGCUUUUGUGGGGUGCUCGAGUGGCGAACGGGUGAGUAACACGUGAGUAACCUGCCCUUGACUUUGGGAUAACUUCAGGAAACUGGGGCUAAUACCGGAUAGGAGCUCCUGCUGCAUGGUGGGGGUUGGAAAGUUUCGGCGGUUGGGGAUGGACUCGCGGCUUAUCAGCUUGUUGGUGAGGUAGUGGCUUACCAAGGCUUUGACGGGUAGCCGGCCUGAGAGGGUGACCGGCCACAUGGGGACUGAGAUACGGACCAGACUCCAACGGGAGGCAGCAGUGGGGAAUAUUACACAAUGGGCGGAAGCCUGAUGCAGAGACGCCGCGUGCGGGAUGACGGCCUUCGGGUUGUAAACCGCUUUCGCCUGUGACGAAGCGUGAGUGACGGUAAUGGGUAAAGAAGCACCGGCUAACUACGUG